AGGUAGAAUCAUUGUCUAUUCAAGGUGAUACUGAAUCAAUUAAAGAAGUUGAAGAAGAACCACUUUAUGAAGAGUUGACCGUAUUGAGCUCUCAUUUUAAUGAGAUACUGAAAGAAAACAAAAAAUUGUCAAACAAAUUAUCAAAAAUGAAGGUUGAGUAUUUGAGAUCACUUUCUAGUAAUACUGGUUCAGCUGCUAGCAAAGUGAGAAGAGGA
Amphimedon queenslandica is the source of this 215-nucleotide long non-coding RNA. RefSeq lists it as uncharacterized. The record is from RefSeq and is a predicted model, not a curated record. Lineage: Eukaryota; Metazoa; Porifera; Demospongiae; Haplosclerida; Niphatidae. The transcript is spliced from 3 exons.